CCGUCUCUGCCAUUCCUCUCUCGUCUCCACCACAAAAAACUUUCCUCCGUGGCCAAUCUCAAAAGACUUUCUUCCUCUUGUAAAAGUUCCUCUGAGAUCUCUUCUUUCUUUAUGCGGCCAAUCUCCUUGUUUUGUCUCUCUAAAUCCCCCCUAUUUCUGUAGAGCUUAAUUGUUUCUGUAAGUCCGACGCAGAUGCAAUGGGAUGUGCGAUAGGUUGGAUUGCGUUUCUGUGAGAGGAGGAAUAACAUGGAAUGAUGAAUACAGGUAUUGAUGAUGUUUUGCUGAAAGAUAUCGGACAAUCCCACCUGAACUAUUUCCUAUGGCCUUUUUAUUUUUUAUGCUGAUGAAUGUAACCAAGGACAAAAGGGAAAGGAUUAAGGAAUGCAAGAAAU
Molecule: long non-coding RNA, 392 nt
Filed under: Coffea arabica (coffee)
Lineage: Eukaryota; Viridiplantae; Streptophyta; Magnoliopsida; Gentianales; Rubiaceae
Description: long non-coding RNA (CARA_LNC001351)
Source: RNAcentral